This 491-nucleotide ribosomal RNA is filed under the name uncultured bacterium. RNAcentral describes it as "partial 16S ribosomal RNA". It matches the Rfam family "Bacterial small subunit ribosomal RNA", at positions 29 to 506 of the family's 1533-position model. The record is from RNAcentral.
AGUGAACGCUGGCGGUAGGCCUAACACAUGCAAGUCGAACGGCAGCACAGUAAGAGCUUGCUCUUACGGGUGGCGAGUGGCGGACGGGUGAGGAAUACAUCGGAAUCUACUUUUUCGUGGGGGAUAACGUAGGGAAACUUACGCUAAUACCGCAUACGACCUACGGGUGAAAGCAGGGGAUCUUCGGACCUUGCGCGAUUGAAUGAGCCGAUGUCGGAUUAGCUAGUUGGCGGGGUAAAGGCCCGCCAAGGCGACGAUCCGUAGCUGGUCUGAGAGGAUGACCAGCCCACCUGGAACUGAGACACGGUCCAGCUCCCUACGGGAGGCAGCAGUGGGAAAUAUUGGACAAUGGGCGCAAGCUUGAUCCAGCCAUACCGCGUGGGUGAAGAAGGCCUUCGGGUUGUAAAGCCCUUUUGUUGGGAAAGAAAAGCAGCAGGUUAAUACCCCGCUGUUCUGACGGUACCAAAAGAAUAAGCACCGGCUAACUUCGU